Molecule: ribosomal RNA, 555 nt
Filed under: uncultured bacterium
Lineage: Bacteria
Description: bacterial SSU rRNA
Rfam family: Bacterial small subunit ribosomal RNA
Source: RNAcentral
AGUCGACGGCAGCCAGAGGAGCUUGCUCCUUGGGUGGCGAGUGGCGGACUGGUGAGGAAUACGUCGGAAUCUGCCUAUUUGUGGGGGAUAACGUAGGGAAACUUACGCUAAUACCGCAUACGACCUUAGGGUGAAAGCGGAGGACCUUCGGGCUUCGCGCAGAUAGAUGAGCCGACGUCGGAUUAGCUAGUUGGCGGGGUAAAGGCCCACCAAGGCGACGAUCCGUAGCUGGUCUGAGAGGAUGAUCAGCCACACUGGAACUGAGACACGGUCCAGACUCCUACGGGAGGCAGCAGUGGGGAAUAUUGGACAAUGGGCGCAAGCCUGAUCCAGCCAUGCCGCGUGUGUGAAGAAGGCCUUCGGGUUGUAAAGCACUUUUGUCCGGAAAGAAAAGCUUCGGGUUAAUACCCCGGGGUCCUGACGGUACCGGAAGAAUAAGCACCGGCUAACUUCGUGCCAGCAGCCGCGGUAAUACGAAGGGUGCAAGCGUUACUCGGAAUUACUGGGCGUAAAGCGUGCGUAGGUGGUUUGUUAAAUCUGAUGUGAAAACCCUGG